RNAcentral lists this small nuclear RNA (95 nucleotides) under Fukomys damarensis (Damara mole-rat). Lineage: Eukaryota; Metazoa; Chordata; Mammalia; Rodentia; Bathyergidae. The record is from RNAcentral.
UAAAUAAAUAAAAUUAGAAAAAUACAAAGAUGCUUAGAUUUGCAUGGGCCCUGCUCAAGGAUGACAUAUAAACUCACAAAGUACCCAUAUUUUUU